This 723-nucleotide long non-coding RNA is filed under the name Sorghum bicolor (sorghum). Its description in RNAcentral is "long non-coding RNA (SBIC_LNC000357)". Lineage: Eukaryota; Viridiplantae; Streptophyta; Magnoliopsida; Poales; Poaceae. The record is from RNAcentral.
GGCCUUGUUUACUUCCACCCAAAAACCCAAAUUUUUUCAAGAUUCCCCAUCACAUCGAAUCUUUAAACGUAUGCAUGGAGUAUUAAAUAUACACAAAAUUAAAAACUAAUUACACAGUUUGGUCGAAAUUGACAAGACGAAUCUUUUGAGCCUAGUUAGUCUAUGAUUGAACAAUAAUUACCCUAAACAAACAAAAGUGCUACAGUGCCGCGAAAUAUUUCGCAUCCGCAACUAAACACGGCCCUGGUCAGCUCCGAUAACUUCUCUGCUGGGGGUUGCUUGUGGAAGAUUAAGGCUUUGUUUAGUUCGGAUUUUUUUUCGGUAUUGUAGUAUUUUUGUUUUUAUUUGACAAUUAUUGUCUAAUUAUGGACUAACUAGACUCAACAGAUUCAUCUCGUGAUUUAUAGAUAAACUAUGCAAUUAGUUUUUAUUCAUGCAUGUGCCGCAAAAUUCAAUACGACGAAAAAUUUAUUUUUUUUAUUUUUAGGAUGAACUAAACAAGGUCUAAUUGCAACCUCGGCGGGGGUGACAUAGACGGAGACAACGAGCAUGUAUCUCUCCUCACAUCGAUUCUUUGUACGCAUACAUGGAGCAUUAAAUAUAAAUAAAAGAAAUAACUAAUUAUACAAUUUGUCUGUAAUUUGCGAGACGAUUCUUUUGAAUCUAGUUAGUCUAUAAUUGAAUAAUAUUUAUCAAAUGUAAACGAAAGUGUUACAGUAGCCA